This 227-nucleotide long non-coding RNA is filed under the name Capsella rubella. Its description in RNAcentral is "long non-coding RNA (CRUB_LNC004365)". The record is from RNAcentral. Lineage: Eukaryota; Viridiplantae; Streptophyta; Magnoliopsida; Brassicales; Brassicaceae.
AGGAGUGAACCCAAGUAUUUUUCAUUUGAUAAUAGUGGUGAUUUUUCGUUUGUUCUAUAUAGAAAACAAAAAUAGUUUAAGUUGCAAUUGAUGAAAUGACGUGUUAGAUAUUAUUGAGUUCUACUUAAAAAAAAAAAUUAAAGGGUUUCUAGUGUACUGUAUUUGAUAAGAUUUAUCAUUAAGGACAUCUUCCCAACUAUAUAUCUUUCUAUUAAUUUUGAUUUUGA